GACGAACGCUGGCGGCGUGCUUAACACAUGCAAGUCGAACGGAAAGGCCCUGCUUGCAGGGUACUCGCGUGGCGAACGGGUGAGUAACACGUGGGUGAUCUGCCCUGCACUUCUGGAUAAGCUUGGGAAACUGGGUCUAAUACCGGAUAGGAACCAUCUUGAGUGUGGUGGUUGGAAAGUUUUUUCGGUGUAGGAUGAGCUCGCGGCCUAUCAGCUUGUUGGUGGGGUAAUGGCCUACCAAGGCGGCGACGGGUAGCCGGCCUGGGAGGGUGUACGGCCACAUUGGGACUGAGAUACGGCCCAGACUCCUACGGGAGGCAGCAGUGGGGAAUAUUGCACAAUGGGCGCAAGCCUGAUGCAGCGACGCCGCGUGUGGGAUGAAGGCCUUCGGGUUGUAAACUCCUUUCGCUAGGGACGAAGCGUUGUUGUGACGGUACCUAGAUAAGAAGCACCGGCUAACUACGUG
RNAcentral lists this ribosomal RNA (466 nucleotides) under uncultured bacterium. Its description in RNAcentral is "partial 16S ribosomal RNA". It matches the Rfam family "Bacterial small subunit ribosomal RNA", at positions 28 to 507 of the family's 1533-position model. The record is from RNAcentral.